This 110-nucleotide non-coding RNA is filed under the name Halobacillus halophilus. Its description in RNAcentral is "SAM-I sequence". It matches the Rfam family "SAM riboswitch aptamer (S box leader)". Rfam says of the family: The SAM riboswitch is found upstream of a number of genes which code for proteins involved in methionine or cysteine biosynthesis in Gram-positive bacteria. The SAM riboswitch acts at the level of transcription termination control. RNAcentral also lists the same sequence under 1 other name. Lineage: Bacteria; Bacillati; Bacillota; Bacilli; Caryophanales; Bacillaceae. The record is from RNAcentral.
CUCUUAUCCAGAGAGGCGGAGGGACUGGCCCUUUGAUGCCCGGCAACCGGCAAGCUAAGACUUGGCAAGGUGCCAAUUCCUGCAAGGGGUAAUCCUUGUGAAGAUGAGAG